GGAACCAUGGCUCUAAUGCUGAGGUUGACAAACGAGCUGUGGACUUCGAGAUGAUAAUACUAAUAAUAAUAAUACAGCCCGAAGGUUUUUGAGAUGAAUUUUGAGGCACGACAUGGUCCUAUAAUUAUAAUAGCCUUUUUCACAAUCCUAGAAUGAAACCUAUCGUCAUGUAAGACGCCAACGUUUAAUCCCACCAUAUCAGACAAAGAAAAUGCAAUGGCAUUGGCCGCUUACUGGCACGCUAAAUACUUCUGGCUGGUACAAAUGUUAACAGGAGAAGAGGAGGAGAGUAAAUUGAGCAGAUUUACAGAGAGAAAAUACUUGUGUUCCCUUUACAUGAUCGCUUGUAUAUACGAUAAAGAGAGAUCGGAUUUUACGAAACAUUUACUAAAGAUGGAGGCGGCAUUUCUUUCCGCGAAAUGUGAGGCCAAAUUACCGAGAUUUUUUUUAAAAAAAAAAAAAAGGAGUAGAAGAAGAGCCACAAAGAGAAAAAAAUAUCAUGACUAGACUGGGGUUCGAUCCCAGGACCUUAUCGGCACAUUUCGGCGAUGAGUCAACGUCGCUUGCGCGAGUCGGCCGAUUAUGUGAGCGAUACGUGAUAACCAACUACACCAUCCAGCCAUUUUUGAUAGUACUUGAGCCGGGCAAAAAGGCUUUUUUCCAUACUGGGUUUCUAUAACCCAUCACCACGGAAAGGAGUAGUAAUGACCACACAGUGUGGCUGUUUUUUAUGAAGCUAAUUUUUAUAAGGUCUUGCUAAAGUAUGCCAGACAUUUAGCUAGCGGAGUGUGAGGUGAAGAGGCAAUGAGAUCCCACAGUCCAACUUAUUCCGCAAUGGCGCAGGCACUAUUCAAAAGCAUAUACAACUUCUCAUCUCCAAAAAACCUGCUUCACAGAUCUUGGAACAAAACAUAAAACCAAAUCUUAACCCCUCCUCCCCCACCACCAAUGGCCAUAUAUGCACCUCGUCUUAAUCAAGGUGGCAGGAUGAUAAUAAUAAAUUCAUCAAAAUGUUUCAUUUAUUGGGGGGGGGAGUUACUUGCACACGCAUAGAGAUGGGACUUUUUAGCGUUGGAGAGAAACUUCUGCGAUUGGUACCCUGCGCAUCGCACGGACAUAAGGAAGACGCAGGCAUGAACCCUGGUACCCUGGGGAAUGUUGGUAGCUCUGGACGCAGGUACGAGAAGUUAGAAUUGUGAACAAUGCUCGGUAACAUUACCACCCUAGGUGUGGGGUCCAACUAUUUGCUAUUUAUUGUUUUAUUAACAGAACGCGUAUUAAGUACACAAAGUUGGUCUUGCGUGUACCUGGAGGGCAAAAAAAUCAAGAAAAGCAGCGAGCCAAAAUGGUAUCAGGGCCGAAAGUACCCCACGAACCAAAAUAUCCAUAAUAAUAAAGUACAAGAGGACAAUGAGAUAUGAGUCUGUUACAAGAUAUGGGAAGAAAAGGGGGGAAAAUAUUAUCAAAGAUGCAUAAGAGAAGAAGGUCGGGUCAAGUUUUAGUUUGUAGGCAGAAGAGAGAUGGAGCCGCACCGGGGCCAAUCUAACAAACAUAGAACGCCAUUGAAUGAUUUUUACGUGCAACAACCCGGAAGAUGGAAAAAAAAAAAGAAUGUGUAUAUCAGAAGUUCGCCGGAAAAAAAGGAAGAAACUGUGGUAUAAUAAACGACAUGAAAUGAAAUAUCGUUGAACAUGCCCAUAAUAGCCUCCAAAUGAACCAAUGUAAAACUCCGUAUCGUACCUUACCACAAGAAAACAGAGGGAAUGGUGGAAACCCCUCCAGCCCCUAUUGUAACAUUCGAAAAGAUUAGAUAUCUCGCCGGUCCGUGUAGAUCGAAAGUCGCCAUUGUCGACGAGGGAGGAGACAUGUAGCAAUCAGCACGUCAAACGACAUUUUCAAGUAUGUUCAUCAAUGCCAUCUAUCGAUUGGUGAUUUUCAGGCCCCUGGAUGGCUUCCUGCGACCUUUCAUGGUCCACGAUAUCCAAAUCUGUGGCUUGGUGCUUGUUGACUUUGUUGUCUCCAGAUGGCGGGACGGCGCAAGUAGCUUUGUCGAUAUUUGUGUUGCCAUUCUCAAGUGCGCCAGUAGCUCUGCCAUUAUUGCUUGCAGCGGCGUGCGACUCAGGUGUAGCAUUGGCGCCAAUCUCCAUGUUGGCUGCCUCCACCUCAGUAGAUUGAAGUGUCGGACUUUCCAACUGUUCAAGUUCGCCACCCUCCCUGCUCUCAAUACCGUCACCCAUUACUUCAUCAGCAUCAUUGGGGUCAAGGAACCUACUACUUCGCCCUCUUCGGAGACCAAUUGUUCUGCUGGAAGGAGUCGGAGUACCCGUAACCUGGCUGGCCGUUCGCUUUGGAGUACUGCGGCCACUUGUUCGUGCCGUAGUGGGAGCAGUGGUUGUAGUGGUGCGUCCUCUGAACUUAUUAGCACGAGUUGAGCCGAAGGGGCGACCAGGGCGACGCUUGGUAAUCGUUCCUGGGAUCGGGGGGAAUAUUUCGAACCGCGUGGGUGGAAUGCCGGCUGCUGGGUUCUGCAUCAUGGAGGACACUGACGGGGUCCUGACACCAUUGGCUUGCCUCAAUGAGGCACCAUCAAAAGGCAUCACACUCAUUGAUGGCGGGCCAGGGGGAUCAAAUGGAGGUGAUACAGAUCUGGCGUGACUGUGUCCAUUGACGAAUCCAUCUUGCAUGCUACUUGUAUCGCCGUUCAUAUUUUCUGCC
This 2715-nucleotide transfer RNA is filed under the name Histoplasma capsulatum. RNAcentral's name for it is "hypothetical RNA". The record is from RNAcentral. Lineage: Eukaryota; Fungi; Ascomycota; Eurotiomycetes; Onygenales; Ajellomycetaceae.